AUUGAACGCUGGCGGCAGGCCUAACACAUGCAAGUCGAGCGGUAGCACAGAGAGCUUGCUCUCGGGUGACGAGCGGCGGACGGGUGAGUAAUGUCUGGGAAAACUGCCUGAUGGAGGGGGAUAACUACUGGAAACGGUAGCUAAUACCGCAUAACGUCGCAAGACCAAAGUGGGGGACCUUCGGGCCUCAUGCCAUCAGAUGUGCCCAGAUGGGAUUAGCUGGUAGGUGGGGUAACGGCUCACCUAGGCGACGAUCCCUAGCUGGUCUGAGAGGAUGACCAGCCACACUGGAACUGAGACACGGUCCAGACUCCUACGGGAGGCAGCAGUGGGGAAUAUUGCACAAUGGGCGCAAGCCUGAUGCAGCCAUGCCGCGUGUGUGAAGAAGGCCUUCGGGUUGUAAAGCACUUUCAGCGGGGAGGAAGGCGAUAAGGUUAAUAACCUUGUCGAUUGACGUUACCCGCAGAAGAAGCACCGGCUAACUCCGUGCCAGCAGCCGCGGUAAUACGGAGGGUGCAAGCGUUAAUCGGAAUUACUGGGCGUAAAGCGCACGCAGGCGGUCUGUCAAGUCGGAUGUGAAAUCCCCGGGCUCAACCUGGGAACUGCAUUCGAAACUGGCAGGCUAGAGUCUUGUAGAGGGGGGUAGAAUUCCAGGUGUAGCGGUGAAAUGCGUAGAGACCUGGAGGAAUACCGGUGGCGAAGGCGGCCCCCUGGACAAAGACUGACGCUCAGGUGCGAAAGCGUGGGGAGCAAACAGGAUUAGAUACCCUGGUAGUCCACGCUGUAAACGAUGUCGAUUUGGAGGUUGUGCCCUUGAGGCGUGGCUUCCGGAGCUAACGCGUUAAAUCGACCGCCUGGGGAGUACGGCCGCAAGGUUAAAACUCAAAUGAAUUGACGGGGGCCCGCACAAGCGGUGGAGCAUGUGGUUUAAUUCGAUGCAACGCGAAGAACCUUACCUGGUCUUGACAUCCACAGAACUUUCCAGAGAUGGAUUGGUGCCUUCGGGAACUGUGAGACAGGUGCUGCAUGGCUGUCGUCAGCUCGUGUUGUAAAAUGUUGGGUUAAGUCCCGCAACGAGCGCAACCCUUAUCCUUUGUUGCCAGCGGUUAGGCCGGGAACUCAAAGGAGACUGCCAGUGAUAAACUGGAGGAAGGUGGGGAUGACGUCAAGUCAUCAUGGCCCUUACGACCAGGGCUACACACGUGCUACAAUGGCAUAUACAAAGAGAAGCGACCUCGCGAGAGCAAGCGGACCUCAUAAAGUAUGUCGUAGUCCGAAUUGGAGUCUGCAACUCGACUCCAUGAAGUCGGAAUCGCUAGUAAUCGUAGAUCAGAAUGCUACGGUGAAUACGUUCCCGGGCCU
Molecule: ribosomal RNA, 1362 nt
Filed under: uncultured bacterium
Lineage: Bacteria
Description: bacterial SSU rRNA
Rfam family: Bacterial small subunit ribosomal RNA
Source: RNAcentral